This is a non-coding RNA of Caretta caretta (loggerhead turtle), 884 nucleotides long. NCBI's taxonomy places the organism in Eukaryota, Metazoa, Chordata, Testudines, Cheloniidae. The record is from RefSeq and is a predicted model, not a curated record.
ACAGAGGGGAUUUAUGAGGACAGACAGGCAGAGGGGGUGUCUGGGGAUAAAUAGAUAGACAGACAGACGGAGGAGGUGUAUGAGGACAGACGGAGGAGGUGUAUGAGGACAGGCAGGCAGACAGACGGAGGAGGUGUAUGAGGACAGGCAGGCAGACAGACAGAGGGGGUGUCUGGAGACAGACAGACAGACAGAGGGGGUUUAUGAGGACAGACAGACAGACGGAGGAGGUGUAUGAGGACAGGCAGGCAGACAGACGGAGGAGGUGUAUGAGGACAGACAGACAGACAGACGGAGGAGGUGUAUGAGGACAGGCAGACAGACGGAGGAGGUUUACGAGGACAGGCAGACAGACAGACAGACAGAGGGAGUGUCUGGAGACAGACAGGCAGACAGAGGGGGUUUAUGAGGACAGACAGACAGACAGACGGAGGAGGUGUAUGAGGACAGGCAGGCAGACAGACGGAGGAGGUGUAUGAGGACAGGCAGACAGACAGACAGACAGAGGGGGUGUCUGGAGACAGACAGACAGACAGAGGGGGUUUAUGAGGACAGGCAGGCAGACAGACGGAGGAGGUGUAUGAGGACAGACAGACAGACAGACGGAGGAGGUGUAUGAGGACAGGCAGGCAGACAGACAGAGGGGGUGUCUGGAGACAGACAGACAGACAGAGGGGGUUUAUGAGGACAGACAGACAGACAGACGGAGGAGGUGUAUGAGGACAGGCAGGCAGACAGAGGAGGUUUACGAGGACAGGCAGACAGACAGACAGACAGAGGGGGUGUCUGGGGACAGAUUCGGCAAUUGAGUGGUGUGGGUGGGCCAGCCACCCUUCCCAUGCUGACCCCCCAGCUCCGAGCGGCGCUGCUUGGCCGGGGGGCUG